RNAcentral lists this long non-coding RNA (222 nucleotides) under Hordeum vulgare. Its description in RNAcentral is "long non-coding RNA (HVUL_LNC012888)". Lineage: Eukaryota; Viridiplantae; Streptophyta; Magnoliopsida; Poales; Poaceae. The record is from RNAcentral.
UAUUUUUUUAAACAAUUUUGGCAUUUAAAUUAAUCCAAGAAAGUCACUAAAAUUGCCAAAAUAAAUAGCUAUAACUAUUUUAAUUGUUAUAAAAAGUUGAGUUAUUUUGUGGAGCAUGGAAAUAUUCCAAAUAAACCCCCACAAAUAUAUUCAAUAUUUUAGGAAAUAUUUUGGAGCCAAAAAUGAAUAAAACAAAUGUUGGAAUUGCAAAACAGAAAAAAA